GAGGAUAAUUUACAAACCUUACCGAAAGCAAUUGGAGGACAAGUCUGGUGCCAGCACCCGCGGUAAUUCCAGCUCCAAAAGCGUAUAUUAAAGUUGUUGCAGUUAAAAAGCUCGUAGUUGAAAUUCUGGCUGUAUUGGGCCUUUGCUUUCAUGCGAAGGAACCAGCAGUCAUCCGCUUGCAAGUACAUGCUCUUCCUUAACCGGUAGACUGUAUAAGUAAGCAUUUUACCUUGAGAAAAACAGAGUGUUCCAGGCAGGUUUGUCCGGAAUGCAUUAGCAUGGAAUAAUAGAAUAUGACUGAGGUCGAUUUAUUGGUUAGAGACUUUAGUAAUGAUUAAUAGGAACAAUCGGGGGCAUUGGUACUUGUCAGUCAGAGGUGAAAUUCUUGGAUUUGACAAAGACUAACUGAUGCGAAAGCGUUUGCCAAGAAUGUUUUCAUUAAUCAAGAACGAAAGUUAGGGGAUCAAAGACGAUCAGAUACCGUCCUAGUCUUAACUAUAAAACUAUAACCGACUCGGAUUCAGAUGAAUAU
This 532-nucleotide ribosomal RNA is filed under the name uncultured eukaryote. Its description in RNAcentral is "SSU rRNA". It matches the Rfam family "Eukaryotic small subunit ribosomal RNA", at positions 516 to 1064 of the family's 1831-position model. The record is from RNAcentral.